GAUGAACGCUGGCGGCGUGCUUAACACAUGCAAGUCGAACGGUGAAGGCGGAGCUUGCUCUGCUGGAUCAGUGGCGAACGGGUGAGUAACACGUGAGCAAUCUGCCCCUGACUCUGGGAUAAGCGCUGGAAACGGCGUCUAAUACUGGAUACGAGCUGCGAAGGCAUCUUCAGCAGCUGGAAAGAAUUUCGGUCAGGGAUGAGCUCGCGGCCUAUCAGCUUGUUGGUGAGGUAAUGGCUCACCAAGGCGUCGACGGGUAGCCGGCCUGAGAGGGUGACCGGCCACACUGGGACUGAGACACGGCCCAGACUCCUACGGGAGGCAGCAGUGGGGAAUAUUGCACAAUGGGCGAAAGCCGGAUGCAGCAACGCCGCGUGAGGGACGACGGCCUUCGGGUUGUAAACCUCUUUUAGCAGGGAAGAAGCGAAAGUGACGGUACCUGCAGAAAAAGCGCCGGCUAACUACGU
RNAcentral lists this ribosomal RNA (467 nucleotides) under uncultured bacterium. Its description in RNAcentral is "partial 16S ribosomal RNA". It matches the Rfam family "Bacterial small subunit ribosomal RNA", at positions 28 to 506 of the family's 1533-position model. The record is from RNAcentral.